AUCGCUUCUCGGCCUUUUGGCUAAGAUCAAGUGUAGAUUUUGCAUUCUUCAGAUUGUAUUUUAUUAUUUCACAUGCAUUUUCUCUAUUUGAAUGCAUCAUAA
RNAcentral lists this small nuclear RNA (102 nucleotides) under Rattus norvegicus (Norway rat). RNAcentral's name for it is "U2 spliceosomal RNA". It matches the Rfam family "U2 spliceosomal RNA". From Rfam's summary of the family: U2 is a small nuclear RNA (snRNA) component of the spliceosome (involved in pre-mRNA splicing). Complementary binding between U2 snRNA (in an area lying towards the 5' end but 3' to hairpin I) and the branchpoint sequence (BPS) of the intron results the bulging out of an unpaired adenosine, on the BPS, which initiates a nucleophilic attack at the intronic 5' splice site, thus starting the first of two transesterification reactions that mediate splicing. The record is from Rfam by way of RNAcentral. Lineage: Eukaryota; Metazoa; Chordata; Mammalia; Rodentia; Muridae.